UCGUUUUUUAGCUAUAUCAAAUGUCUGGAUCUUACGUUAGCAGAGGAACAAGCUGAUUUUAUAAUAAUAAUAAAAUAAUAAUAAUGAGUCGUAUACUUUAAGUAUAUUUAGAUGCAAAUAUUUUAGUACUUUUAGUGACAAAAAACUGAAUCCAGGACUUUUAACUUGUAACAGAGUAUCUCUACAGUGCGGUGUUAGUUCUUAGAUUUAAAUAAAAUCUUUCUGACUGCUGAAUGUUUACUUAAACUACACAUUGCUGACUUUGCCGUCUUGUAAUUGUGAGUUUAUUUGCUCUUGUAAAGUUUCCUUUUUCCUCUGGUGAUCAAUAAUAGUGUAUCUUAUUCUAUCUUAACAUCCACUCUAUGAUUAUAAUAAUAUUUGUAACUAAUUAAAUCACUCUACAUUCUGCAUAAGAAGUGGCUUUAGUUAAAAUAUUGUGUAAAAACUAAUUUAUUAUGAUUCUUAAGUUGCAGAACUCAACACACUAGAUAGACAUUAAUUUAUUUUAAGGUUUUCUUUUGACAAGUUCAGGAAGCCCCACAUAAGCAGGGCAUCAAAAAAUUAAGUUAGACUCUUAUUGAUCCUCUCCACGGAAAUCUUUAGUAAAAGGCGAAAGAUUUAUUCGAUCUGAAGAGAAACAAGAGCGAUCUGAUAAUCGAUAGUUCCUCUGAUCGACCUGAUUGGAGCCAACAGCGCUUUGUGUUGUGGUGUUCACUGUCAAAUGUUACUGAGACUAAAAUCUAAACCCACAUAAAGUGCAAAUAAACAACCCAAUAAAUAAAUCAAUCACUGAGGACUUUUAAUGAGACAAACGAACUUUUAUUCGCCUCUAGUUCGCCGAUCGCACGGUGGCGCAAAGCAUGAUGGGAUUACGUUCUUACGUCCCGGUUACGUAGAAUUUAUAUUUUAAAUCUGUUAUUUUGUUUGAAUUUAAAAUAAUUAAAUUAAUCUCUCAAUCAGAAGCACAACUGCACUGAUACAUUUAUUAAUUCAGACUGUUUGUAUUUAUACUUUUAGAUAAAUAAAUAAAUCUUACAUUAAAGUUUCAUAAAGCCCCGCCCCCUCACACACACACAGACUAUAAACUGACACUGGAAGAUAAAGUCUCAUUAUUAACUUGUUUAUUUAUUUUUCACAUAUCAGGAAGCCCCACAUUUAAGCAGGGCAUCUAAAAAUUGCGUUAUACUCUUAUUGAUCCUCUCCACGGAAAUCUUUAGUAAAAGGCGAAAGAUUUAUUCGAUCUGAAGAGAAAUCAGAGUGAUAUAGUGACACAGACACUGAGAGCCCGCUGCCUUUAACGGGAACAUGUACUUCAUCAACGGUGUAUUGUUGCUGCCACUAAAUAAAAACCCUGAACAAACUGUUGGGGACAAACACAGCAGUGCUGAUAAAUGGAAACUUUGCGCUGGUUAACUUUGAUACUUGAAACGAACCGUUGAUCCGUUUAUUAACGGCUUUUAACUGGUGGCGCAAAGCAUGCUGGGAGUGGAGGGCUGAACGACCGUUAAUUUCCGUUUGUUGUUAAUUUGUCUCUUUCCGGUUGUUUGUUUGUUUUUUAAAGUUUAUAAAUGUAAUAAAGUGCAACAGUUUGUAUAUACAGACUACAAUGUCACCGCCGACAGUUGUUCAUAUAGUUUGUAUUAAAGUUUGAGUGUGACAGCCGUUGACUGACCAAAGACUGCAGAUUGAAUGAACAACAACGACCUCCUGUGGUAACACAACACAAUAAACUGCUGCUAUCAAGGCCGGAUUAACCUCUAAAGGGCCCAGGGCAGAGAGGGCACAAGAACAAGAUCUGGUUAUAUCUCGUUUAUAUGUUGAACUGUCCGCCGGAGCCGUUGCGCUGCACAUAAUCUCUGCCCCUGGCUGCCUGUGACUGUGACGUGAGCUGAGACCCUCUCCUCAUUGGUCAGCCCGUAUGAGGCAGGUCAAAGGUGACGCCAAUCAACGUGCACUGAGCAGGUCGCGUGACGUCAAGCGCCGCUACGCAACACAACUCAAACAUGGAGAAUCUCAGUGGGAGCGCCAAACGGAAAUUAAAAAAGGAAACAUUUAAAAUAUAUACCGAAAGUAGGGAGUUUCUUCACGCUAGUAAACGUUAGCAACUGUUCUGCUAAGGCAGCAUCCGUCAACGAGGACCGCUCAGCUAGCCAGGACACUUCUUCACUGCCGGCGCUAGCUAAUGUUCACAGCCCCGAGAGCGAAGAGCCCCCCGGCGGCAUCUUCAACCGACGGCCCGGGUUCUGCUGCGAGUGCGACCGGUGAGGGAAGCGGUGAUGGGUCUCUAGUCUCACCGCCAGCUGAACCGCUCGUCGAGUCUGCGAGCAGCCCCUGUACGGGUGGGUUUCAGAGUCAGUGUCGGGGGGAGUCCCGGGUCUUGUUGAUGAGACCAGCUGCAGACGGGAAGAAGCUGUUCUUGUGGCUGGAGGUUUUGGUCCUGAUGGAUCGCAGCCUCCUACCAGAGGGAAGUGUUGUAAAGAGUCUGUGUGCAGGGAUGGAGGGGUCAGCCACAAAGGCACACAAUCCUGGCACAGGUUCCCGGGGAGUCCAGAUGCUGGAGGAUGAAGUGCAGAGCCAUGUUUACUGUAUCAUCCACAGACCUGUUGGCUCUGUAGGUGAACAUUUCAUCCUCAUGGUGGCGUUAGAUUAAAAGUCCUCAGGUGACUUCUUCUGUUUGUCCAAAAUCAUUCAUCUAAUAGUGGUUGAGAUAUUAAAUAUUUUACAUCGCUGUUAUUUUUGUGAAUUUAAAAUAAUUAUGUUAAUCUCUGUAAUGGAAAUUGUAAUACAUUAUGAUACAUUUUAUGUAAACACUUUAAUACACUCUAUAAUAACCUCACUCUCAUGAAUUAUAGUGCGUGCACUCUAUGUAACCUCAUGCUUAUGAACUAUUGUGCGAACAAAAAUGUCUAACUGUUUCAAGGGUGCCCUCAGCACCUGGUACUUCUCCCACACGAUGAAUGUCUCAAAUGUUUUACUGUCGCUAUGGGAGGAGAGGAUGAAUCCUCUAGAGACUGGCUCCAGACAUCUCCCUUUUGUUCAAGGUUAUGAUGUUCGUUAACAUAUCUAACUGUUAUCUACUAUGUACCACCUGAUUUGUUUCUUUUUCUUCAAUAAAUAAGGGUGCAGCUCUGAAAAGGGAGUCCUUUCAACAAGCUGAGGGGCUCACUCUGCGCAGAGUUACACCCGGGUGAAAAGACAAA
Molecule: long non-coding RNA, 3200 nt
Organism: Dicentrarchus labrax (European seabass)
Lineage: Eukaryota; Metazoa; Chordata; Actinopteri; Moronidae
Exons: 2
Source: RefSeq, a predicted model, not a curated record